GGAGCUGGAAAGGUGGAGGCGGAAGUGACUGAUCAAUUCAGGGGUGUGGGGUUCGUUUAGGUUUUGCCCUGUGUAUGACCUCUUUUGGAGCCAUGAAACCAGGUCUGUGAAAUUUCGUGUCUAUUUUCUACCAUAGCACAUGUUAAUUUGGACUAACCACAUUUCAAGUGCUCAGUAGCCACAUGUGGCUAGCGACUACUAUCUUAAGCAAUGCAACGAUAAGUCUGCACUUACGUUCAAAAAGACUUAAAGCAGGGAUCCACAACCCCCAGGCCACAGACUGGUACGGAUCCAUGGCCUGUUAAGAACUGUGCCACACAGCAGGAGGUCACCAUGUGUGAUGACUACAUCCAAAGAGAGUGAGUGGCUUGAGACAUUGGUAGUAUGUGUAUCUGAUCAUAUCAAUAUGUUAAAAUGACGUUCAGAGUAUGAUCUACCUCAAAAUAAUCUAGCCUCAAGCUUUAUUCUAGGGAGGUAAUUCUGAAGAUACCUAUCUUCUUGAGAGUGAAAUUUUAUGGAAUCCUAGAUUUCUCAUACCUAGGAAUAACAAUACAAGGGACAGAAGAGUUAGCAGUGUUCCUGCUGAAAGGUCCAAGUAUCUCCCUAGGCACGGAAAACACCCAA
RNAcentral lists this non-coding RNA (624 nucleotides) under Pongo abelii (Sumatran orangutan). Lineage: Eukaryota; Metazoa; Chordata; Mammalia; Primates; Hominidae. The record is from RNAcentral.